Molecule: ribosomal RNA, 337 nt
Filed under: uncultured soil bacterium
Lineage: Bacteria
Description: bacterial SSU rRNA
Rfam family: Bacterial small subunit ribosomal RNA
Source: RNAcentral
CGCUCGAGGAUGAGCUCGUGUCCUAUCAGCUUGUUGGUGAGGUAACGGCCCACCAAGGCUUUGACGGGUAGCUGGUCUGAGAGGAUGGUCAGCCACAUUAGGACUGAGACGCUGCCCAGACUCCUACGGGAGGCUGCAGUCGAGGAUCUUUUGCAAUGCCCGCAAGGGUGACAAUGCGACGCCGCGUGUGUGAUGAAGGUCUUCGGAUCGUAAAACACUGUCGGCCGGGAUGAAUGACAGUACCGGCAGAGGAAGCCACGGCUAACUCCGUGCCAGCAGCCGCGGUAAUACGGAGGUGGCAGGCGUUACUCGGAUUGAUUGGGUGUAAAGGGUGUGU